Molecule: ribosomal RNA, 429 nt
Filed under: uncultured bacterium
Lineage: Bacteria
Description: bacterial SSU rRNA
Rfam family: Bacterial small subunit ribosomal RNA
Source: RNAcentral
UGGGGAAUAUUGGACAAUGGGCGAAAGCCUGAUCCAGCCAUGCCGCGUGUGUGAAGAAGGUCUUCGGAUUGUAAAGCACUUUAAGUUGGGAGGAAGGGCAGUAAGUUAAUACCUUGCUGUUUUGACGUUACCAACAGAAUAAGCACCGGCUAACUUCGUGCCAGCAGCCGCGGUAAUACGAAGGGUGCAAGCGUUAAUCGGAAUUACUGGGCGUAAAGCGCGCGUAGGUGGUUCAGUAAGUUGGAAGUGAAAUCCCCGGGCUCAACCUGGGAACUGCUUUCAAAACUGCUGAGCUAGAGUACGGUAGAGGGUAGUGGAAUUUCCUGUGUAGCGGUGAAAUGCGUAGAUAUAGGAAGGAACACCAGUGGCGAAGGCGACUACCUGGACUGAUACUGACACUGAGGUGCGAAAGCGUGGGGAGCAAACAGG